This 407-nucleotide ribosomal RNA is filed under the name uncultured bacterium. RNAcentral describes it as "partial 16S ribosomal RNA". It matches the Rfam family "Bacterial small subunit ribosomal RNA", at positions 30 to 526 of the family's 1533-position model. The record is from RNAcentral.
AUUGAACGCUGGCGGCAGGCCUAACACAUGCAAGUCGAGCGGAGCGGCGGACGGGUGCGUAAUGACAAGGAAUCUGCCUGGUUGUGGGGGAUAACGUCCGGAAACGGGCGCUAAUACCGCAUACUAUCAGAUGAGCCUAGGUCGGAUUAGCUAGUUGGUGUGGUAAAGGCCUACAAAGGCGACGAUCCGUAACUGGUCCUAGCGGAUGAUCAGUCAGACUGUAACUGAGACACGGUGCAGACUCCUACGGGAGGCAGCAGUGGGGAAUAGUGGAGAAGGGGCGAAAGCCUGAUCCAGCCAUGCCGCGUGUGUGAAGAAGGACUUCGGAUUGUAAAGCACUUUAAGUUGGGAGGCGUUACCAACAGAAGAAGCACCGGCUAACUUCGUGCCAGCAGCCGCGGUAAUAC